Molecule: ribosomal RNA, 620 nt
Filed under: Streptomyces sp. den26
Lineage: Bacteria; Bacillati; Actinomycetota; Actinomycetes; Kitasatosporales; Streptomycetaceae
Description: bacterial SSU rRNA
Rfam family: Bacterial small subunit ribosomal RNA
Source: RNAcentral
GGCAAUCUGCCCUUCACUCUGGGACAAGCCCUGGAAACGGGGUCUAAUACCGGAUAACACUCCUGCCUGCAUGGGUGGGGGUUAAAAGCUCCGGCGGUGAAGGAUGAGCCCGCGGCCUAUCAGCUUGUUGGUGAGGUAGUGGCUCACCAAGGCGACGACGGGUAGCCGGCCUGAGAGGGCGACCGGCCACACUGGGACUGAGACACGGCCCAGACUCCUACGGGAGGCAGCAGUGGGGAAUAUUGCACAAUGGGCGAAAGCCUGAUGCAGCGACGCCGCGUGAGGGAUGACGGCCUUCGGGUUGUAAACCUCUUUCAGCAGGGAAGAAGCGAAAGUGACGGUACCUGCAGAAGAAGCGCCGGCUAACUACGUGCCAGCAGCCGCGGUAAUACGUAGGGCGCAAGCGUUGUCCGGAAUUAUUGGGCGUAAAGAGCUCGUAGGCGGCUUGUCACGUCGGUUGUGAAAGCCCGGGGCUUAACCCCGGGUCUGCAGUCGAUACGGGCAGGCUAGAGUGUGGUAGGGGAGAUCGGAAUUCCUGGUGUAGCGGUGAAAUGCGCAGAUAUCAGGAGGAACACCGGUGGCGAAGGCGGAUCUCUGGGCCAUUACUGACGCUGAGGAGC